AUCUCUUGUCAUUGCAUAUAUC
This 22-nucleotide small nuclear RNA is filed under the name Arabidopsis thaliana (thale cress). RNAcentral's name for it is "snRNA_12785". The record is from RNAcentral. Lineage: Eukaryota; Viridiplantae; Streptophyta; Magnoliopsida; Brassicales; Brassicaceae.